This 514-nucleotide ribosomal RNA is filed under the name uncultured bacterium. RNAcentral describes it as "partial 16S ribosomal RNA". It matches the Rfam family "Bacterial small subunit ribosomal RNA", at positions 28 to 523 of the family's 1533-position model. The record is from RNAcentral.
GAUGAACGCUGGCGGCGUGCCUAAUACAUGCAAGUCGAGCGAACAGAUGAGAAGCUUGCUUCUCUGAUGUUAGCGGCGGACGGGUGAGUAACACGUGGGUAACCUACCUAUAAGACUGGGAUAACUCCGGGAAACCGGGGCUAAUACCGGAUAAUAUUUUGAACCGCAUGGUUCAAUAGUGAAAGACGGUUUCGGCUGUCACUUAUAGAUGGACCCGCGCCGUAUUAGCUAGUUGGUAAGGUAACGGCUUACCAAGGCGACGAUACGUAGCCGACCUGAGAGGGUGAGAGGCCACACUGGAACUGAGACACGGUCCAGACUCCUACGGGAGGCAGCAGUAGGGAAUCUUCCGCAAUGGGCGAAAGCCUGACGGAGCAACGCCGCGUGAGUGAUGAAGGUCUUCGGAUCGUAAAACUCUGUUGUUAGGGAAGAACAAAUUUGUUAGUAACUGAACAAGUCUUGACGGUACCUAACCAGAAAGCCACGGCUAACUACGUGCCAGCAGCCGCCGUAA